UAGGGAAUCUUCCGCAAUGGACGCAAGUCUGACGGAGCAACGCCGCGUGAGUGAAGAAGGAUUUCGGUUCGUAAAACUCUGUUGUUAGAGAAGAACAGCGCAUAGAGUAACUGUUAUGCGUGUGACGGUAUCUAACCAGAAAGCCACGGCUAACUACGUGCCAGCAGCCGCGGUAAUACGUAGGUGGCAAGCGUUGUCCGGAUUUAUUGGGCGUAAAGCGAGCGCAGGCGGUCAAUUAAGUCUGAUGUGAAAGCCCCCGGCUCAACCGGGGGGGGUCAUUGGAAACUGGUUGACUUGAGUGCAGAAGAGGAUAGUGGAAUUCCAUGUGUAACGGUGAAAUGCGUAGAUAUAUGGGGGAACACCAAUGGCGAGGGCGACUCUCUGGUCUGUAACUGACGCUGAGGCUCGAAAGCGUGGGUAGCAAACAGG
This 429-nucleotide ribosomal RNA is filed under the name Bacteroidota bacterium. RNAcentral's name for it is "Bacteroidetes bacterium partial 16S ribosomal RNA". It matches the Rfam family "Bacterial small subunit ribosomal RNA", at positions 355 to 776 of the family's 1533-position model. The record is from RNAcentral. Lineage: Bacteria; Pseudomonadati; Bacteroidota.